Long non-coding RNA from Mustela erminea (ermine), 2506 nucleotides. RefSeq lists it as uncharacterized. The record is from RefSeq and is a predicted model, not a curated record. The transcript has 6 exons. NCBI's taxonomy places the organism in Eukaryota, Metazoa, Chordata, Mammalia, Carnivora, Mustelidae.
GUUGACUGUGGAGCUCAUUUACCUCGGGCUAAAUAUAGGUGCCUUCUCUGCAGCCGGUCGGUGACUCAGCGAGCCCCGGGAAAGCUCCUGGGCAGAGAAGACACGAGGCCCGGAGGCCUUGCUUUCCCCUGAGUGCUGGAGCUACAGGAAGGCUGAUGCAUGGGAGCAGAAAAUGAGGAUAUGUUUUGCAAGUCCUCCUGGGCUAGCUGAGUUCCUCGCUCCCCUCCCCAGACUCUCCGUUCAAAAGCCGUGAGAUUGCUGUUCCAGGCCCAGUCUUGUGCUAGCUUUCUCCCAAGGGCUUAAAGGGUGAGGAGAGCGUGAGGGGUGUGUGUCGGUGGGUGGGUGUUCAUCCCUCCCUGGCUGGGGCAGGGGGAGAGAAACAGACCAGGCAGUGUCUAUACCGUGGUCUGCCUUGGCCUCGGACUCCCACCCUGGCCACCGCCCACCUGCCAAGAAGCGCAGGGAGGGGGCUGCUGAUGCCCUGACCAUUCUCUACGAUGCUCUGUGCCCACGGAAACGGUGAGUGCUCCCUUCUUCCCGCCCCAGGCUCUUCAGGAAGCAAGCGCAGUCCUGGCCUUCUACAUUCAUCUCCAGAGGCUCUGCAGAAGCUGAGGAGUGAGGCAGUCCUUUGGAGAAUGACGGGCAGCUGUCUGAGCAGACUGGUGGGAUGGGAAGAGGCGGGACCAGGCACCAGGAGAGGUUUCUGCCAGGCGUUUGCUGUGUGACCUUGAGCAAGUCCAUUUUCCUCUCUGGUCUCCAGUUUCUCCUCUGUUUAUUCACCUAUGUAAUCUCUUCAACAAAUAGGUAGUAAAUGCAUACCGGAUCUGUGCUUUCCAUGUUAGACACGGGAAAAUAACCAAGAUGAAGGAUUUCAAAAGUCCAGGGAGUCUCCACUGCUCUCCCAAUCGAACACUGGCACUGUUUCUCCAUCCCCUAACUCUGCAAUGACCUUGUAACUUGCUUUGACUAACAGGAUGCUACAAAAGUGACCAGUGACUGUCGAUCUCGCCCUCUCAGAGCCCAGCUGCCACUUUGGGGAGGCCUAAGCUAGCCCGCUGGAGUGGUCACAUGGGAAGGAAAUGGGGUGCCCACACCAAAAGCCUCAGGCAGCCACCAGUCACGUGCGUGAGGCAGGUGGAACCCCCAGCCCCCAGCCCCCAGCCCCCAGCAGACUGACUGCAAACCACCGGCAGCAGAGACAAGCCAUCGCAGCCCGACCUUGCCCAACUUGUCAACCCAGAGAACUGCGAGGCAUUGAAGCAUUCUAGUUUGAAGCCACUGUUCCAGAGUGUGUGUUAUGGAGCAAAAGAUAAUCAAGUUCAACCAGGUGAGGCAGACAUUGUUACCUUCAUUUACCCUUGACAGAGGAAAGCACUGAGGCACGGGAAAGAGAAGGAACUUGACCAAGAUGGCAGAACAGGAGCCACCAGGAUUACCUGCUGAUUAUUAAACUGUUCUUUUGGUGAUUUAAUACUGUGGAGGGACGGCCUGAACUGAGCUUGAGACAGGCUCUUCAUAUGUGGUGACAACAUGGCCACAAGCAACUCUAGGCUUGCACCCCAACAAGCAAAAAGCCUUUCUUUCUUAAUGGGUCCAGCAAAAACCCUCAGCCAAAUUCUCAUUGGCUGGAUUUAGUCACAUGGCUUCCUGUGGGGUAGAGGCAGCGGGUGACAGCAGAGAAAGGGGCUCUGGAGUCGGUCGGACCUGGGUUAAAACCUGGCUCUGUCAUUACUAUCACAAGAGUUGGGUGAAGCAGGGAUCCCAGCACCCGAGCUGGCCCGAAUCUCUGAGCAUGAUCCUCUCCUGCCUCGUCCUCUUAGACAUCAGCUCGGGCCGUGCCAGGACCUCGCUCCAGGGACACAGGCGCAGAACCCGCUGUCACCUCAACAAAGCACGAAAGGAACUUCUGUGAUGUGGGUCUGGGCAGCUGCGGGGCACGGUCUCUCAUCCACACGCCCCGGUUCUGGUCUUGGGAUCGCCAAGAACACGUCACUUCCUAGCGGGUGCUCAGGACAUAUUUGCAGAAUGAAUGAGCUCCUUCUGUCAGUGCAAAUUCCUCAGCAAGGAGUCAUAGGCUGCAAAAUCCUGGUAAAGCAGGUAAAAUGGACAUCAUGUCUCCUAGCUUUGCCAUGGAUUGGAAUGUGUGUUCCUGGAGAAGAAUAAGCUUUUUGCCUCCCCCUACAAGCGAAUGAUAAUCACAGCCAUGAUGGGUUGGGAACAUUUAAGCUAUAGGCUUGCUAGUGUGCCACUCGCUAUGCCAUGCACGCGAGGUCACUUGUCUUCCUUUAAACUUCCCAGUGGCCCGAUGAGGUAGUCGUUAUUCCCAUCCCUAUUUGUGGCUGCGGAAUCUGGAGCUCAGAGAAGUUGAUCAUCUUGACCAAGGCCACACAGCUCGUAGGUGGCAGGGCGUGAUUUGACACCCAGGUCUUCACCUCCAUGAAGAAGAGAGGAGCUGGCAGGGGAGAUGGGGAUAGGAUGGAUCUAAAGGACUGGCCUGGGGCUGGGG